GACGAACGCUGGCGGCGUGCUUAACACAUGCAAGUCGAAUGAGACGAUUGAAAGCUUGCUUUUAAAAGUCGAGUGGCAAACGGGUGAGUAACGCGUAGACAACCUGCCUUUGAGAUGGGGACAACAGUUCGAAAGGACUGCUAAUACCGAAUGUUGUAUAUUUUCCACAUGGAAGAUAUAUUAAAGAUGGCCUCUAUUUAUAAGCUAUCGCUCAAAGAUGGGUCUGCGUCUGAUUAGCUAGUUGGUGGGGUAACGGCCUACCAAGGCGACGAACAGUAGCCGGUCUGAGAGGAUGAACGGCCACAUUGGGACUGAGACACGGCCCAGACUCCUACGGGAGGCAGCAGUGGGGAAUCUUCCACAAUGGACGAAAGUCUGAUGGAGCAACGCCGCGUGAGUGAAGAAGGGUUUCGGCUCGUAAAGCUCUGUUGUCGGGGACGAAUGUGCAGUAUUUGAAUAAAGUACUGCAAUGACGGUACCUGACGAGGAAGCCACGGCUAACUACGUGCCAGCAGCCGCAGUAA
Molecule: ribosomal RNA, 524 nt
Filed under: uncultured bacterium
Lineage: Bacteria
Description: partial 16S ribosomal RNA
Rfam family: Bacterial small subunit ribosomal RNA
Source: RNAcentral